AGUCUGCAACUCGACUGCAUNAGGCCGGAAUCGCUAGUAAUCGCGGAUCAGAAUGCCGCGGUGAAUACGUUCCCGGGUCCUGUACACACCGCCCGUCACACCAUGGGAGUCGGAAAUGCCCGAAGCCGGUGGCCUAACCGAUAAGGGAGGAGCCGUCGAAGGCAGGUCUGAUGACUGGGGGUGAAGUCGUAACAAGGUAAC
Molecule: ribosomal RNA, 201 nt
Filed under: uncultured bacterium
Lineage: Bacteria
Description: partial 16S ribosomal RNA
Rfam family: Bacterial small subunit ribosomal RNA
Source: RNAcentral